RNAcentral lists this ribosomal RNA (160 nucleotides) under Vibrio kanaloae. RNAcentral's name for it is "partial 16S ribosomal RNA". It matches the Rfam family "Bacterial small subunit ribosomal RNA", at positions 1 to 142 of the family's 1533-position model. The record is from RNAcentral. Lineage: Bacteria; Pseudomonadati; Pseudomonadota; Gammaproteobacteria; Vibrionales; Vibrionaceae.
UUAAAUUGAAGAGUUUGAUCAUGGCUCAGAUUGAACGCUGGCGGCAGGCCUAACACAUGCAAGUCGAGCGGAAACGACACUAACAAUCCUUCGGGUGCGUUAAUGGGCGUCGAGCGGCGGACGGGUGAGUAAUGCCUAGGAAAUUGCCUUGAUGUGGGGG